RNAcentral lists this long non-coding RNA (2111 nucleotides) under Homo sapiens (human). RNAcentral describes it as "HSALNT0107610". The record is from RNAcentral. Lineage: Eukaryota; Metazoa; Chordata; Mammalia; Primates; Hominidae.
CAAAAACCUAGGGGAUGACUGACCCACUAAAUGGAAGAGACAUGAGCCACCAAAUGACUGCACAGGCAGAGAACAUCCCUGCCAACCUGCAUUAGACGGACACAGCAAGAAAUGAACCUUUAUUGUGGUAGGCCACUGAGAUUUGGGAGUUGUUUGUAACUGCGGUUCACCUACCUCAACUAAUACACUUAAUAUGAUAGGACGAUGGAGCAUGCUCAACAGCAGCAUGGAAGUCAUCAAGCAACCCGGCAUCCUGGUGACCUGGCCUGGUAACAUGCCUUGGGACCAUCCUGGGCACCAUAGGGCUCCAAGGAAUGGGAAAGAAGCAACAUAAAAUACUUGACAUUACCCCAUUUAUGGAAACUCAUCCCAGAAAACUUCCCUGAGACAAAAGUUCAGUAAGGCAAGAAUAUAUCUGAAAUUCUUGCUGGAGAUAUCAAUUUAAAACAUAAAUGCAAACUAGGCUAUGACCAAACUCCAACAUGUCUGUGGGUACAUGAUUUCAUACAGAGGAAUAUGAUGGUUUGCAUGGAAACUAGAGAAAGAAGAAUUAGAAAAUAUAUCUUUGCUAGUAUUUCUCCUGUACUAGCCAGAGAAAGAGUAUUCUGAUUCUUGAUCUGUGGCCAGCUUUUUAGGAAGAAAUACCUCUAAUAUGUGGAAGGACAAUUCCUUAGUACUUCUCAGUUUGCUGGAAAUCCAUCCCAAAAGCAUCCAAUUCCAUUUGUUUUAACUGUGUGCUCACCCAACAACUUUCUGACUUACAAUUUGGUGUCCUAACUGUAUGUGCACAACAAAAAGAAAACAUUCAGGGAAGAAGAACAGGGAGAGAGCAAGAAGGAGGAGUCUGCUAUUUGUAAGAAAGGGAAGGUGUUUUGUGACAAGUUUAAAUCUGGUUAUCAUGCUUGCUAUAUAUCCUAUUACAGGUUAAUAAAUUAGCAUUCUGAUUUAUGUAUAUAAGGCUCUUGAAAGAUGGUUGGUUUCCUGGUACCUAACCAUCCCUUGGUAAAAUUUUAAUUUUAUUUUUAUUUUUUUUGACAGAGUCUUACUCUGUCACCCAGGCUGGAGUGCAGUGGCGCGAUCUCAGCUCACUGCAACCUCCGCCUCAGUUCAAGUGAUUCUCCUGCCUCAGCCUCCUGAGCAGCUGGGAUUACAGGCACGCGCCACCACACCUGGCUAAUUUUUUGUAUUUGUAGUAGAGAUGGGGUUUCACCACAUUGGUCAGGCUGGUCUCGAACUCCUGACCUCAUGAUCCGCCUGCUUCGGCCUCCCAAAGUGCUGGGAUUACAGGCGUGAGCCACCACGCCCAGUCCCUAAAAUUUUAAUUUUUAAACUUACAAAUUUGAGGACCAGAAUCUGGACUCAUCAACGUGGCUCUGAAACUCGAUGUCUAUAACCAUCAUUAAUACAACAACGGAACGCUUGUUUUGUUUUGCGGAACUUGUUUUGUCUUGCAUUCAUUCUAUCUUCCUUAAAUAAUGUCUCUUGAAAAAAAGAAAUCUUUGGAAGAAAUUCAAGACAGAUUAUCUUCUUUAAUAGAAGAAUUUCUGAAUCUCUGAAAACAUGGUAAUGCCAAAGCUUUAGCCUUUAUAUUUGGAAGUAACCAACUAUAACUUAGGAUGAAAAGAAGAAAAGCAUUGAAUGCUUUGCUCAGACCAUAAAUUCCAUAUCCAUUUUCCCUAGCGUUUGGGAUAAUUAAGUUCAUUGUACUAGUGGUUUUUUUUUUUUCCCUUAGGGAUUCUACCUGGAAUAUACUAAUAUUUUCAAGCACUCAUAGAAAAUGGUGUAAAUAAAAUUGUUACACAUGGAAAUACACAUUUAUAAUUUUGAUAUAUUUUGCCAAAUUGCUCUCUAAAAGGGUUAAUUCCAUUUACGUUCCAACAAAAUAUUUGUUUUCCCACAUCCUUCCCCAUAUUAAAUGUUAACCUGUUCAAUUUGUCAAUCAGACACAAGGAAAAUUAUAUCCUUAUUGUUUAAUUUGCAUUUUCUGAAUUGUGAAGAUAUUAAAUAUACUCAUGUCAAUAGGCUAUUAUCUUUCAUUUCAGUAUCUGGAUGUGAGUGGUUUUUGCCUAUUUGUUGCUUAUUGACUUGUAAGAGAUCUUUGUAUAUUAAAG